GUGUUGUGAAAAGCUACAGGAAAUGUGCUGACCACUUGGUCGUACUGAACAUGUAAAAAUAGAUGUUUUGCUGCAAGCAUUUUGGUACAGCAGAAUCAUCUGCCUCAAUUUCUCCAUACAGCUGCAGUUUAUGGAUCAAUCUCUUGAGUGAGUGUUCUAGUGCCAUGAAAGAAUAUCAUGUGGAAAAUGCCAGUGGAGCUAUAAACCUUUGAGUACCUGAGAGUGGGUGGAGACAGAACACUCUACCUCAGACAGUAAAGGAAGAGAAGAUGACUAGAGCAAACAGAAACACCAGUACUGAGAUGAAUGAAAGUUUUCAAAGAGAAAACAACAACAAAGAAAAAUGAAAAUGUAAGAAAAUGACUGCGAUUUGACUCAACGUUUUGUAAUAAUAAUCAUAAAAAGUACAGGUAUAUUAGUCAUAUCCUCUAAAGAGCUUCUUGUAAAGCAACUUCACCUCUUGUAAGUACUCCCAUGUGAUUAGUUUAAUAAGGAAUCUCUUCAUUUAAAAAUGAAUUUUUUAAAAGAAAGUACAUUUUUAGUGACCAGGAAAAUUGCUGAAUUAAUAGCUCUAAAACUUGAAGGCCGUCAUCUGUGCCUGAUCUUCAGAGAUGUUGAGUAUUAAAAAGUCCAUGUAAAAAACGUAACAGAGGAAAUUACUUCCAGAAUACUACAGCAAUUUCAUGGUUCUUAUGGUACCUAGAAAUUAUGGUACAUAUUUUUGAGAACAAUUUACUGGAAUUUUAUAUAUGAUUAACAAUAAACAGAUAUAGAGUAGUCCUGUAAUAAAGAGCACCUACACCUCC
Non-coding RNA from Pelodiscus sinensis (Chinese soft-shelled turtle), 806 nucleotides. NCBI's taxonomy places the organism in Eukaryota, Metazoa, Chordata, Testudines, Trionychidae. The record is from RefSeq and is a predicted model, not a curated record.